Molecule: ribosomal RNA, 292 nt
Filed under: uncultured bacterium
Lineage: Bacteria
Description: partial 16S ribosomal RNA
Rfam family: Bacterial small subunit ribosomal RNA
Source: RNAcentral
GUGUCAGCAGCCGCGGUAAGACGAAGGAUGCAAGCGUUAUCCGGAUUCAUUGGGUUUAAAGGGUGCGUAGGCGGCCUAAUAAGUCAGUGGUGAAAUCUCCUCGCUUAACGAGGAAACUGCCAUUGAUACUGUUGGGCUUGAGUACAGAUGCUGUGGGCGGAAUAUGACAUGUAGUGGUGAAAUACAUAGAGAUGUCAUAGAACACCGAUUGCGAAGGCAGCUCACAAAACUGUAACUGACGCUGAGGCACGAAAGUGCGGGGAUCAAACAGGAUUAGAUACCCCAGUAGUCC